This 23-nucleotide non-coding RNA is filed under the name Cricetulus griseus (Chinese hamster). Lineage: Eukaryota; Metazoa; Chordata; Mammalia; Rodentia; Cricetidae. The record is from RNAcentral.
UGCAUACUGUCUGAUUAAACACA